UUAUGCUGAUAAGAGCGUAUGGUGGAUGCCUUGGCACUAAGAGCCGAUGAAAGACGUGAUAAGCUGCGAAAAGCUUCGGGGAGGGGCAAAUACCCAUUGAUCCGGAGAUUUCUGAAUGGGGAAACCUACCUGAGCAAACCUCAGGUAUCCUGACGCCAAUCCAUAACGUCAGGAAGGGAACCCGGUGAACUGAAACAUCUAAGUAGCCGGAGGAAGAGAAAACAACAUGUGAUUCUGUGAGUAGCGGCGAGCGAAAACGGAAGAGCCCAAACCAGUGUGCGUGCAUGCUGGGGUUCGGACCGCGGAAUUGAUUCAACAAGUUUAGCAGAACGGUUUUGGGAAAGCCGGCCAGAGAGGGUGAAAGCCCCGUAAGCGAAAGACGAGUUGACAUGGCGGGAUCCAGAGUACCACGAGACACGUGGAACCUUGUGGGAAUAUGCGGGGACCACCCCGUAAGGCUAAAUACUACUUAGUGACCGAUAGCGCAUAGUACUGUGAAGGAAAGGUGAAAAGGACCCCGGGAGGGGAGUGAAAAAGAACCUGAAACCAUAUGUUUACAAGCUGUGGAAGAGCUUUAUAUGCUCAACCGCGUACUUUUUGUAGAACGGUCCGGCGAGUUACGCUGGCUGGCGAGGUUAAGCACUGAAGGUGUGGAGCCGAAGGGAAACCAAGUCUGAAUAGGGCGAAGAGUCAGUCGGAGUAGACCCGAAACCGGGUGAUCUAUCCAUGUCCAGGUUGAAGUUGCCGUAAAAGGCAAUGGAGGACCGAACCCACAUCCGUUGAAAAGGGUGGGGAUGAGGUGUGGAUAGGGGAGAAAUUCCAAUCGAACCCGGAGAUAGCUGGUUCUCCUCGAAAUAGCUUUAGGGCUAGCCUCAUACGAGUCUUGCGGAGGUAGAGCACUGAAUUCCUAAGGGGGCGUCAAAGCUUACUAAGGGAUAUCAAACUCCGAAUGCCGUGUAGAUGAUGUAUGGGAGUCAGACGAUCCGAGAUAAGUUGGGUGGUCAAAAGGGAAAGAGCCCAGACCAACAGCUAAGGCCCCAAAAUGUGUGUUAAGUGGAAAAGGAUGUGGGAUUUCGAAGACAACUAGGAUGUUGGCUCAGAAGCAGCCAUCCAUUCAAAGAGUGCGUAAUAGCUCACUAGUCGAGAGGUCCUGCGCCGAAAAUGUCCGGGGCUGAAACACACUGCCGAAGCUUUGGAAUUGAUGAAUUUCAAUUGGUAGAGGAGCAUUCUUAAAGAGACGAAGCAGUACCGGAAGGAGCUGUGGAUUUUUAAGAAGAGAGAAUGCCGGAAUGAGUAGCGAGAGGAAGGUGGGAAUCCUUCCGGCCGAAUAUCUAAGGUUUCCAGAGUAAAGCUGAUCUGCUCUGGGUAAGUCGGGGCCUAAGGCGAGGUCGAAAGACGUAGUCGAUGGAUAACAGGUUGAAAUUCCUGUACUAUCCUGUAACAGAACUGUGGGGACACAGGCAGAGAGCGUGAGCCGGGAAUGGAAAGACCGGUACAAGCGAGGUAGGAGUUCAGUUGGCAAAUCCGCUGAACAAUCUGAAGACGUGAUGUGGACCGAAAAGAAGUAGGGAAGCACGUGAGCUGACUGUCAAGAAAAGCCGCUAUUGUUUGCAGGAUACCCGUACCGUAAACCGACACAGGUGGAUGAGGAGAGAAUCCUAAGGCCGACGGGAGAAGCAUUGUUAAGGAACUCGGCAAAAUGACUCCGUAACUUCGGGAGAAGGAGUGCCAGUAAGAUGGCCGCAGAGAAUUGGCCCAAGCAACUGUUUAGCAAAAACACAGGUCUAUGCAAAACCGAAAGGUGAGGUAUAUGGGCUGACGCCUGCCCGGUGCUGGAAGGUUAAGGGGAGAGGUUAGCCGCAAGGCGAAGCUUUGAACUUAAGCCCCAGUAAACGGCGGCCGUAACUAUAACGGUCCUAAGGUAGCGAAAUUCCUUGUCGG
This 1941-nucleotide ribosomal RNA is filed under the name human gut metagenome. RNAcentral describes it as "bacterial LSU rRNA". It matches the Rfam family "Bacterial large subunit ribosomal RNA", at positions 1 to 1975 of the family's 2925-position model. The record is from RNAcentral.